AUACGGAGGAUCCGAGCGUUAUCCGGAUUUAUUGGGUUUAAAGGGUGCGCAGGCGGCCAUUUAAGUCAGCGGUUAAAUCGUGGGGCUCAACCCCAUUCUGCCGUUGAUACUGGGUGGCUUGAUUGCGGUCGAGGUUGGCGGAAUUCGUUGUGUAGCGGUGAAAUGCAUAGAUAUGACGAAGAACACCGAUUGCGGAGGCAGCUGACCAGACCGCAAAUGACGCUCAUGCACGAAAGUGCGGGGAUCGAACAGGAUUAGAUACCCUGGUAGUCCGCACAGUAAACGAUGAACACUUGUUUUCGGCGAUAUAAUGUCGGAGGCAAAGCGAAAGCGAUAAGUAUUCCACCUGGGGAGUACGCCGGCAACGGUGAAACUCAAAGGAAUUGACGGGG
RNAcentral lists this ribosomal RNA (392 nucleotides) under uncultured bacterium. Its description in RNAcentral is "partial 16S ribosomal RNA". It matches the Rfam family "Bacterial small subunit ribosomal RNA", at positions 523 to 918 of the family's 1533-position model. The record is from RNAcentral.